This 347-nucleotide ribosomal RNA is filed under the name uncultured bacterium. Its description in RNAcentral is "bacterial SSU rRNA". It matches the Rfam family "Bacterial small subunit ribosomal RNA", at positions 104 to 450 of the family's 1533-position model. The record is from RNAcentral.
GGGUGCGUAACGCGUAUGCAACCUACCUUCUACAGGGGGAUAGCCCAGAGAAAUUUGGAAUAAUACCCCAUACGGUCAUUUAAUGGCAUCGUUAAAUGAAGAAAACUCCGGUGGUAGAAGAUGGGCAUGCGUCCUAUUAGUUAGUUGGUAAGGUAAUGGCUUACCAAGACACCGAUAGGUAGGGGUCCUGAGAGGGAGAUCCCCCACACUGGUACUGAGACACGGACCAGACUCCUACGGGAGGCAGCAGUGAGGAAUAUUGGACAAUGGAGGCAACUCUGAUCCAGCCAUGCCGCGUGCAGGAAGACGGCCCUACGGGUUGUAAACUGCUUUUAUACAGGAAGAAU